UUUACCAAAAAAUACAUUUUUUUUUUAUAUUUUAGUUAAUUUCCAAUUUUAAAGAUUGUAAUAAAAGAGUAUCGAGUAACGGAGUAUUUUUAAUCUUGCUUUUUAAAUUAGGAGUAGUAUUUUUAUCGCUUAAAAAUCAAAAAUAGAACCAAUAGUGUAUUGCCACUUGGCAAAAUUUCACUCUUCCACACAAAAAGCACAUUCCAUUUUGGGAAGGAAUAUUUCAUUCUUCCUUCCCAAGAUAUUUUUUUUACACAUGGGCAUUUUGGAAAAAAGGAAAAAAAUAAGCACACUUAAAACCCUACAUCUAGACACACUAUAAAUAACUAAAAAUAGAAACGUAAUGGACCCUAGAGUCCAUCAUCAUCAGCAACCGUAAGACUCUAACAUCAUCAAUAUCCAGCCGCAACACACUAAAAAACACACAGAAUCAGCUGCAUACAAAAAUGAAUCAACAAGUCCUUCUUCAUUUUUUCUAGACUAAGCACCUAGACUACGUACACUAAGCAACCACAAUAGCUCAUACACACAAAAACUAGCAACUCUUAAACCUCCAUAGCCAUGAAAACAAGCUCUUAAAACUCCAUAGCUACCACCAAACACCAUAUGGAUUUCCACCGUUGGUAAUGUCUCUUGUUCGAGGUCGCCGACGUGAUUUUUGAUUUUAAGUCGGACUCCAUUAAAGGUCCUGCUUUUGUCACGAUUUUUCUCAUCUUUUCCGAACAAAGGUUUCUGUUGAUGUACUUGGAGAUUCAUCAAAUAUAUUAAAGGCAUUUGGCUGCUGUAAAGAAGAAGAUUCACGAGACUUUUAAAAUAAUUUGGUAUGAAGAGCAUUACAUCAUCGAAUACAUGAUUGUUCUCAAAACUCUUAGAAGCUAGAUAAGGUCGAUGUGAUCAGAGAGAGGCUCACGGCUAACAAGCACGUGUGUUCAUAAUUUUUUUAUGGACAAUGUAUUCAAUAUCUUUGUGUAUUAAAGAAGAAAAAAAUGGCUGGCUUUAAAAUUAUUCCUUAAUAUUUUAUUGAUCGGCAUGUAAAUAUCAUUAGCUUUCUUAAAUUGAUUUACUUCGUACUUUUCGACUUGUAAUUUUUUGAAAUUUUAAUAUUUUUAUUUGUGUCAA
Molecule: long non-coding RNA, 1119 nt
Organism: Lycium barbarum (goji berry)
Lineage: Eukaryota; Viridiplantae; Streptophyta; Magnoliopsida; Solanales; Solanaceae
Exons: 3
Source: RefSeq, a predicted model, not a curated record